GACGGAGGAUGCAAGCGUUAUCCGGAAUUAUUGGGCGUAAAGCGUCCGUAGGUGGUUGAAUAAGUCUGCUGUCAAAGACUGUGGCUUAACUAUGGGAAGGCAGUGGAAACUGAUCGACUAGAGUGUGGAAGGGGUAGAGGGAAUUCCCAGUGUAGCGGUGAAAUGCGUAGAUAUUGGGAAGAACACCAGUGGCGAAGGCGCUCUACUGGGCCAACACUGACACUGAUGGACGAAAGCUAGGGGAGCGAAAGGG
This 253-nucleotide ribosomal RNA is filed under the name uncultured bacterium. Its description in RNAcentral is "partial 16S ribosomal RNA". It matches the Rfam family "Bacterial small subunit ribosomal RNA", at positions 524 to 776 of the family's 1533-position model. The record is from RNAcentral.